AAACAUGAGAGUUUGAUUCUGGCUCAGGACGAACGCUGGCGGCGUGCUUAACACAUGCAAGUCGAGCGAAUGUAGCAAUACAUUAGCGGCGGACGGGUGAGUAACGCGUGAGCAAUCUGCCUCUAUCUACGGGAUAACACUUAGAAAUAGGUGCUAAUACCGUAUAAGACCACGUCUCGGCAUCGAGGAGGGGUAAAAGAUUUAUCGGAUAGAGAUGAGCUCGCGUCCCAUUAGCCAGUUGGUGAGGUAACGGCUCACCAAAGCGACGAUGGGUAGCCGACCUGAGAGGGUGAUCGGCCACAUUGGAACUGAGAAACGGUCCAAACUCCUACGGGAGGCAGCAGUGGGGAAUAUUGGGCAAUGGAGGCAACUCUGACCCAGCAACGCCGCGUGAAGGAUGAAGGUUUUCGGAUUGUAAACUUCUGUCGCGAGGGACGAAGAAUGACGGUACCUCGUAAGAAAGCCCCGGCUAACUACGUGCCAGCAGCCGCGGUAAUACGUAGGGGGCGAGCGUUGUCCGGAAUGACUGGGCGUAAAGGGAGUGUAGGCGGCAACACAAGUUAUAUGUGAAAUCCCGUGGCUUAACCAUGGAACUGCAUAUAAAACUGUGUAGCUGGAGUGCAGGAGAGGUAAGUGGAAUUCCUAGUGUAGCGGUGGAAUGCGUAGAUAUUAGGAGGAACACCAGAGGCGAAGGCGACUUACUGGACUGUAACUGACGCUGAGGCUCGAAAGCGUGGGGAGCAAACAGGAUUAGAUACCCUGGUAGUCCACGCCCUAAACGAUGGAUACUAGAGGAAGGGGGUAUAAACUCCUCCUGUCUCGAAGCAAACGCGAUAAGUAUCCCGCCUGGGGAGUACGGCCGCAAGGUUGAAACUCAAAGAAAUUGACGGGGACCCGCACAAGCAGCGGAGCAUGUGGUUUAAUUCGAAGCAACGCGAAGAACCUUACCAAGACUUGACAUCGUACGAUCGCCGUGGAAACACGGUUUUCCCUUCGGGGACGUGCAGACAGGUGGUGCAUGGUUGUCGUCAGCUCGUGUCGUGAGAUGUUCGGUUAAGUCCGGCAACGAGCGUAACCCUUAACGGCAGUUGGCAAUAUUAAGUUAGCAACUCUGCCGUGACUGCCGUGGACAACACGGAGGAAGGUGGGGAUGACGUCAAAUCAUCAUGCCCCUUACGUUUUGGGCUACACACGUGCUACAAUGGGUGCUACAAAGAGCAGCGAAGCCGUAAGGCGGAGCAAAUCUCACAAAAGCAUUCUCAGUUCGGAUUGAGGGCUGCAACCCGCCCUCAUGAAGUCGGAGUUGCUAGUAAUCCCGAAUCAGAAUGUCGGGGUGAAUGCGUUCCCGGGUCUUGUACACACCGCCCGUCACGCCAUGGGAGUCGGGGGGACCCGAAGUCGGUGGGCUAACCGCAAGGGGGCAGCCGCCUAAGGUAAAACCGAUGACUGGGGUGAAGUCGUAACAAGGUAGCCGUAUCGGAAGGUGCGGCUGGAUCACCUCCUUU
This 1505-nucleotide ribosomal RNA is filed under the name Clostridiales bacterium. RNAcentral's name for it is "bacterial SSU rRNA". It matches the Rfam family "Bacterial small subunit ribosomal RNA". The record is from RNAcentral. Lineage: Bacteria; Bacillati; Bacillota; Clostridia; Eubacteriales.